GACAGAGGUGCCGAGCGUUAGGCGGAAUCACUGGGCUUAAAGCGUGUGUAGGCGGGCGGGCAAGUACCUUGUGAAAUCCCACGGCUCAACCGUGGAACGGCUGGGUAUACUGCCUGUCUUGAGCCAACUAGGGGCGAGCGGAACAGACGGUGGAGCGGUGAAAUGCGUAGAGAUCCGGAAGAACACCAGUGGCGAAGGCGGCCCGCUGGGCAGUGGCUGACGCUGAGGCGCGACAGCGUGGGGAGCAAACAGG
RNAcentral lists this ribosomal RNA (253 nucleotides) under uncultured bacterium. Its description in RNAcentral is "partial 16S ribosomal RNA". It matches the Rfam family "Bacterial small subunit ribosomal RNA", at positions 524 to 776 of the family's 1533-position model. The record is from RNAcentral.